AGUGAGCUGUUCACUCUUCUCUGACACCUGCUCAUUGCCAAAUGUAUCGCUUUCUUUGACAAUAUAGUGGUACCUCAGUUCUCGAACUCAUUAGAACUCGAAUUUCUUAAAAGUCGAACCAACCAGUUCAAAAUAAAAAUUACCUAGAGCUCGAUCUGAAUCUCAGAAGUCAAACCGUGAACGCCGACCUAAGAUAACUUGUACGCGCGGGAAAAUGAGUCACGCCGUCUCUCAGAGGAAACAAAGGGUAAAGCUUCAGUCUCAGCCUCGCAUUCGCUGUGGUAGCAUCCUGCAUCCUGUACGCCGAUUUACAGACAGGCACGUCUGCGGGCAGCCCAGUGAUAUUGUUGCUGUGGAACACGUGACCCAUGCUGCCUUGUACAGGACCUCAGCCAGAAGUUUUGGACGAGUUCUGAGAGAAAACGUAAUUGCUGUCUCAAGGCUGAACAAAAAUCUAAUCCUGUAUGGCAGCAUUUCACCAAGCCAACACUAUAUUGUGCACUGAAAGAGAUUCUGAUGCUAUUUUUAUUGUUUAUAAGUUUGUUUACAAGUUGUAUUGUGUUUACGUUUAUUUUUAAAUUUACAAGUCAGUAUUCAAUAAAUGCAAAGUUGAGAA
Paramormyrops kingsleyae is the source of this 616-nucleotide long non-coding RNA. RefSeq lists it as uncharacterized. NCBI's taxonomy places the organism in Eukaryota, Metazoa, Chordata, Actinopteri, Osteoglossiformes, Mormyridae. The record is from RefSeq and is a predicted model, not a curated record.